This 543-nucleotide ribosomal RNA is filed under the name uncultured bacterium. RNAcentral's name for it is "bacterial SSU rRNA". It matches the Rfam family "Bacterial small subunit ribosomal RNA", at positions 777 to 1322 of the family's 1533-position model. The record is from RNAcentral.
AAUAGAUACCCCGGUAGUCCACGCCCUAAACGAUGUCUACUAGUUGUCGGGGGGGUAACUCCUUCGGUAACGCAGCUAACGCGUGAAGUAGACCGCCUGGGGAGUACGGUCGCAAGAUUAAAACUCAAAGGAAUUGACGGGGACCCGCACAAGCGGUGGAUGAUGUGGAUUAAUUCGAUGCAACGCGAAAAACCUUACCUACCCUUGACAUGCCACUAACGAAGCAGAGAUGCAUUAGGUGCCCGAAAGGGAAAGUGGACACAGGUGCUGCAUGGCUGUCGUCAGCUCGUGUCGUGAGAUGUUGGGUUAAGUCCCGCAACGAGCGCAACCCUUGCCAAUAGUUGCUACGAAAGGGCACUCUAUUGGGACUGCCGGUGACAAACCGGAGGAAGGUGGGGAUGACGUCAAGUCCUCAUGGCCCUUAUGGGUAGGGCUUCACACGUCAUACAAUGGCUGGUACAGAGGGUUGCCAACCCGGCGGGGGGGAGCCAAUCCCACAAAACCAGUCGUAGUCCGGAUUGCAGUCUGCAACUCGACUGCAUG